Molecule: ribosomal RNA, 383 nt
Filed under: uncultured bacterium
Lineage: Bacteria
Description: bacterial SSU rRNA
Rfam family: Bacterial small subunit ribosomal RNA
Source: RNAcentral
AGCGAACGUUUGCGGCGGGCCUAACACAUGCAAGUCGAACGGGCUAGCAAUAGUCAGUGGCGCACGGGUGCGUAACACGUGGGUAAUCAACCCUUCAGCUCGGGAUAACGCCUUGAAAGGGGCGCUAAUACCGGAUGCGACGCGAGGAGCCUCGGCGCUUCGCGGGAAAGAUUCGCAAGGAUCACUGAAGGACGAGCCUGCGGCCCAUCAGCUAGUUGGUGAGGUAAAGGCUCACCAAGGCGACGAUCUGUAGCGGGUCUGAGAGGAUGAUCCGCCACACUGGAACUGAGACACGGUCCAGACUCCUACGGGAGGCAGCAGUGGGGAAUUUUGGACAAUGGGCGCAAGCCUGAUCCAGCCAUGCCGCGUGUGCGAUGAAGGCC